This 255-nucleotide ribosomal RNA is filed under the name uncultured bacterium. Its description in RNAcentral is "partial 16S ribosomal RNA". It matches the Rfam family "Bacterial small subunit ribosomal RNA", at positions 524 to 776 of the family's 1533-position model. The record is from RNAcentral.
GACGAAGGAUGCAAGCGUUAUCCGGAUUCAUUGGGUUUAAAGGGUGCGUAGGCGGACUGGUAAGUCAGUGGUGAAAUCUCUUUGCUUAACAAAGAAACUGCCAUUGAUACUGCUAGUCUAGAGUAUAGAUGACGUUGGCGGAAUAUGACAUGUAGUGGUGAAAUACUUAGAUAUGUCAUAGAACACCGAUUGCGAAGGCAGCUAACGAAACUAUAAACUGACGCUGAGGCACGAAAAGUGCGGGGAUCAAACAGG